Long non-coding RNA from Hyaena hyaena (striped hyena), 718 nucleotides. RefSeq lists it as uncharacterized. The transcript has 4 exons. The record is from RefSeq and is a predicted model, not a curated record. Lineage: Eukaryota; Metazoa; Chordata; Mammalia; Carnivora; Hyaenidae.
GGAAGGAGCUAAUAAGAAGGGGAAGGCGAUGGCACUGGAAGGCAGCGAGGUCCCUGUGAGGAGAAAAUGGAAUCCCAUCGAAGGAUGCACCGGUCCUUCAACUGGAGUCUGCAAAGGGACAAGAGAAAUUUGUGGAGAUGCUAAAGAGCCAGCACAUGAUUAUCCCUGAUUUGUGCCAGAAACUCACAAAACAACAGCAAAUAUUGAUUAACCAGCAACAGCUAUUCUAGACCAGUGGAAGAAAAUGCAUGAGCAAAUGGAAGUGAUGAAGGUUCCGUAUGGCAUAUUCUUCCAUACUAGGAAGCAGAUGUCUUUCCAUAGCUUGCAGGAGUAUGACCAGCAUUCUUUUGAAACUCAUCUUCAGGGACUGCAGAAUCAUAUCAGAUAUCAUCUCCAGAGGUCAUACACUGCAGAAAGUUGAAGCUGCUGUGAAAGUAAUUAAUGUUGGGGUGGGGGGAAACUUCUUAGACUGUAGCCUUUGCAAAAGUGAUGAAUUUUGCAAUUUUUAAGAGACCAUCACAGUGUGAAAAAUGAACUUUCUGCCCUGCUGGGUUCUCCCCACUUGUCUGAAUGUUUCACAGACAUGGAUCAAUCCAUCAGGGAGCUACUAAAGAUGUCUAAAGCCCAAAUAAGAUAGGAAUUGAGGUGAAAUCUAGCACAAGACGGAAGUUUACCAAUGAUGAGAGAAUUCACAGAAACCCCUAGCUAUUCAAGGAAG